AAGACUCUGCCUGGAGGGUGUUUAGGACAUAUCGUUUGGCCCCCGUGUUUUUAUUUGGGAACCAGCUCUGGCCGUGAAGGGUGUGCCUUUAUGUAAAGGAAACCUGAAGCGGUGAUCAAGGUACCCCCCUUUCUUUUUAGGGGGGCCAUAGAGAAAGUCCGCACCACCAAGGUGGUCCCCCC
RNAcentral lists this non-coding RNA (182 nucleotides) under Deltaproteobacteria bacterium. RNAcentral describes it as "6S RNA". It matches the Rfam family "6S / SsrS RNA". Rfam says of the family: E. coli 6S RNA was the first non coding RNA to be sequenced, but its function was unknown until recently. It consists of 184 nucleotides that fold into an extended hairpin structure with a large single-stranded internal bulge. The record is from RNAcentral. Lineage: Bacteria; Pseudomonadati; Myxococcota; Myxococcia.